UACGUAGGCAGCAAGCGUUGUUCGGAUUUACUGGGCGUAAAGGGUGCGUAGGCGGUCCUAUAAGUAUGGUGUGAAAUCUCCCGGCUUAACUGGGAGGGUGCGCUAUAGACUGUGGGACUAGAGUGUGGGAGAGGAAAGUGGAAUUCCUGGUGUAGCGGUGAAAUGCGUAGAUAUCGGAAGGAACGCCGGUGGCGAAAGCGAGUCGCUGGACCUCUUCUGACGCUGAGGCGCGAAAGCCAGGGGAGCAAACGGG
RNAcentral lists this ribosomal RNA (253 nucleotides) under uncultured bacterium. RNAcentral's name for it is "partial 16S ribosomal RNA". It matches the Rfam family "Bacterial small subunit ribosomal RNA", at positions 524 to 776 of the family's 1533-position model. The record is from RNAcentral.